UCCAAAGUGAAUGGCCAGAGAUGGAGAACAUCCGAAAAAGUAAUUAAGAAUCUCCAAACCAUAAAAAGAUUACCCACAUCCUCCUCAGAGCAUGUCCAUGGCUCAACUUCAAAUGGCUUUCUCAAGCAGACACUCUUUGGUGGAAAUUCAUUGAGCAAAUCUCUAAAUGCUUCUAGAUUUUGUAGAGUUUCACUGUCAAGUGACAAUGUUGAGGGCGAACCCUUCUUUGAGGCUGCUAGCUCCAUCAAUUCCAGACGUUCAUCUUCAAUUAAUUCUGUUGAUUCUUUCGCUAUUCUUCGGGCAUUAGCCCUUACGUUAGCCGCUUUAAGCCUUGCAACCUCCUUCUCUCGGCGCAUUUCUUCUUUAAGCCUCAUUCUCUCUGCUUUCAUAGACUCUUUCUGCAAAAACUUCUGUCUUCGUUCCAUCUCACGCCUUUGCUCACGCUGAUACCUCUCUUCCUCACGCAGCUUUUCGCGGAGCAGUCUUUCUUCCUCUUUCCGCCUUUCCCUGUCCUGUCUUUCCAUAUCUUUCCUCAUUUGCUCUUCUCUCUUUCUUUGUAACAUGUCUUGCUUCUCAAGCUCUUUCCGGAUCCUCUUCUCAUGGGCCUCCACUUCUCUUGCGAUUCUUGCCUCUUCACUCUUUCGCUUUCUUUCCAACCGUUCCUCGUCAUGGAUGACUCUUUUAUCAGAAGACAUAAAUGGACUCUCCAACGCCAUCAUUGGCUGACCACUAUAACUAGCCUCCACUUCAAUGUUCACAAGAGAUCUUUGUGGAACAGCCUCGACCUCAGCAGAAGCUGG
RNAcentral lists this unclassified non-coding RNA (800 nucleotides) under Hevea brasiliensis (rubber tree). Lineage: Eukaryota; Viridiplantae; Streptophyta; Magnoliopsida; Malpighiales; Euphorbiaceae. The record is from RNAcentral.